Molecule: non-coding RNA, 98 nt
Organism: Roridomyces roridus
Lineage: Eukaryota; Fungi; Basidiomycota; Agaricomycetes; Agaricales; Mycenaceae
Source: the annotation of a GenBank genome assembly
CACCCAGUAGCACAUGGACUGUGCAUCCGCCUCAAGUUCUAUGUCCUCCAAGUGCGUAAUUCAAGUGGAGUAACCCCGUUCAAUUCGGGGCUGGGUGG